Molecule: long non-coding RNA, 1304 nt
Organism: Setaria italica (foxtail millet)
Lineage: Eukaryota; Viridiplantae; Streptophyta; Magnoliopsida; Poales; Poaceae
Exons: 6
Source: RefSeq, a predicted model, not a curated record
GCGCGCAAAAAUUUCGUAAGAGGCUCCGCUUAUCUGUUUUCAUUCCCCGCCGGCCGCCGCCACCCCGAGCGCGCCCUUCUCCGCCAAAUCGCCACCGCGCGCUCCGAAAAUCCAAUCUCCUCCGCGCGCCCUCCCAAUCGCCUCUGCACGCGGGCUGUCAAAACCUCACACCGGCACAUCGCAUCUCCCCGAAAUCCUCACGCCUCUCCUCUGCCAAAUCUUGAGCCGCCUCCACCAGCUUGACCAUGCGUCCCUCCUCAGCCAAAUCUUGAGCCGCCUUCACCUGCCUGCCCAUCCACCGAGCAGGACGCGGCCACCCUGCUCCGGCGGCAUCCACGCCCCAAGGAGGACGCCACCCCAACCUGCAGGAAGCCGCCACCCCUGCUCCGGCGGCAUCCAAGGAGGACGCCGCCCCGACCAGCAGGACGCCGCCACCGCUGCUCCGCCGGCAGUCACGCCCCGAGGAGGACGACGCUGCGGCCCCUGCAUCAACGCGCCCGUAUUCAACCCCUAGAAGGACGCCCCCGAGCAGACGCCGCUGAUUCGCCCUCUACGACGCGCCCCCGACCAGGACUCCAAAAUUGCCAGCAACCUAGUCCACCGCCUGGACACAUCCACCAGCACUUCAAUUUAUUGCUGCUCUACAUCAAUAUCUACCAGCUGCCUCCUUGCCGCUUUGCUGGCUCACUGAAGGUCAAGGGUAAAGGACCUGGUGACCAUAUCGUAAGAAAUUGGGAAAUUUUUGAACGUCCACAACAUCAACAUUUCACAAUACCUGACCUUGUGCAAUGUACUGAAACAGGAGUUGUCAUUUGCAAAGUUUAGAGAAACAUCAAGUGUCUUCUCUUUGACAGAAGAAUAACUCAAUACCACAGGUUUAACUUCAAUAUUCGGAGCAACUACCUUCUAGCUACGAAGUAUCCUGGGAAGGAGCUUGUGCAACGGUGGGAGGUCCUAGCUAGAGGUAGCGUGACGCUCGAUCGUGUCGGCAGCAGGACCAGUGCUCGCUAAUGCUAUUUUGUUUUGGACAGAUUUGAGACCUUUUGUACGUGUCAUGUGAAUUUGUGUAGCCAAACAUCAUGUGUGUUGUGAUAAGCCAAACUUAUGGCUGUGUAGAGACUAGAGACUGAUUUGUCUAGCUGGGCUACCUCCUACUUUUUGUAUAUGGUUGUCUGCUUGAACUGUGAGUUGUGACAAGCCAAACAUAUGAACUGUUAGGUUGACUGAACUGAGUUCAGUGACAAGACAAAUGUUGAUGUCUUCAAUGACAACUAAGUUAUAUAUGUUCACUUGUGUGUUUGAUA